Molecule: long non-coding RNA, 962 nt
Organism: Poecilia latipinna (sailfin molly)
Lineage: Eukaryota; Metazoa; Chordata; Actinopteri; Cyprinodontiformes; Poeciliidae
Exons: 2
Source: RefSeq, a predicted model, not a curated record
UCCGAAACUUUAUUUGUGAAUGAUUCUCCUGAAAUAAGCAACUACGAGUGAAAAGUAAAUAAAAAUACUGGCUUAAAAAGACAGAAACUUGGGAGAAAUGAGAGAAAUGACUUAAGAAGCAGAAACUUUUACAUGGGUCCCAACCCACUACUAAACAGAAAAAAGACAAAGACCAUCAUUAGUAUGAAAAAACUUUAUUAUCUAAGAAUUAUACAGAAAGUUUGUGAUAGUCACAUUUCUAUCUGAAAUUGAAUCUGCAUCAUCAAUACAUUUUCUAAUAUCCUAAAAAACAAAAACCUUCUCAAAGAGUGUUAGAUUCUUUUUAAAAAAUCACACAGGUAAAAAUAGUUUCAGUUUAGAGUAAAAUUAACAAAGUCAAUGCAGGUGUUUUAACAAAAAAUGAACACAUCCCAGGCAUCAUAACUUAGAAAAAAACUCUGCAACAUCUGAAUUGUUGCCAUCAUACAAUCAACAGAGAUGGGGGGCUAGCGUACCGUUGAGUGUUGGAGAGGACAGACGGACAGCAGAAGGAAGAGGAGGUCUGACUGUAUGCUAAAGUUACAGAUGUUUAAAGAUUAUUUAUCAGGUGUUGUCCACGUGUGCCAAAUGGAGACGCCAAAAUGAUAUUUCUUUUUUGUGCUAUUUUGAUCCGUCUUCAAAUUCACAAGCAGAAUUGUAUUGUAUUUUACUGUCAACAUUCAACAUUCAAUUUGCAUUUACAAGAAAUAAAAAUGAAAAAUCUGGGUGAAGCAAUAUUUUUAAUUUUUUUGUGUUAUAAACGUAAUAGCUACAAACUACUUACAGUUAAAGUAUUUUUAACUGCAAAAAAAAUUGCUUAUAGUCUUCAUAAAGAGACAGUUUUUGUAUAUACUCCAAAUGGUUCUAUAACAGCAGCUGAUUUAAUUUGCGUACACCAUUAUGGAUUUUUGGUGAUUUAGAAGGUGAGGGUUAAAAGGUUAAAA